CAGGCGAGCAGCUAAAAUCCCGACCACACCGGUGCCUGCUCCCAGCUCAAUGACGCGCUGUCCUCUCAGCUCCACCGACUCUUCCUCCAGCUUCCCAGACCGGAGCGGCCACGCCGAGGUUGGCACCGAACACUUGUUUUAUCCGCACUUCUUCCCCCAUCAUGUCAAACACCGAGUCCAGACAAAAUGUCUCUGCGAACAGGCAGUCAUCGACGGGGAACGGGUCCUCUUCGUCUCCAACACAAGUCAUGACCAAAAGCUGAAUGAAAACAGAUUUAUAUUUUACACACGAGGCGGGGGAAAAAAACACAACUGCCCCUUUAAACAUUAGACGAGCGUUUUACUUCCGGUUUCAGAAAGUAAACAUUACGCCCAUCUACUUCCGUUUCCAGGUCAAAUACGUAGCGUUUUGACUUUAAUUUUACAAAUAAAAUGUUGGUGUUUAAUAGUACGAUCAUACUAAGAAUUACUACAAAUCACUGCCGCACCUAUUAGAUAAAAAAUGCUCUGUCUCAAAAAAUGUUAGUGUGAUAUGUGUGGCUUUUAUUUUGAAAUGAGACAGUUCAUUACUGACUUUUUUGUAUUAACUUUUAUCUAUUGCUUUAAGAUUUUUUUCUGUUUGAAAAUGUAUUCUUCAGAGUAAUAUGCCCCCAAUGAUAUAAUAAAUAUAUUUUGUAAUAAUCAAUAAGUAAAUUUUAUUUUGAAUUCAUUGGACACCAAAUAAUUGUGUAUUUUUUUUUGAUACAUUAUUAUGAUGGAGCCGUGUAAAAUCCAAAAAGCACAAUCAUAUUUGAGGUUUAUUAAAAACAAAGUUUCCCCAACAACUGCUUUACUUUGAAAACCAAAAUAAAUGUAUAGUACCAGUAUGAUAUACCAUUUUUUUCUCCACACACACAAAACUGCACAUAGAUGGCAAAGAUGAUUUAACAGGUAUAUAAAGUGAGAAGUACACUUACUCAUCAUUUUAGCCUUUCAGUCUUAAAAAAAAAAAGGUACAGAUUUGUGAUAUACAAAUUAGACGCAAAACUGAAAUGGAAAAAAAUAGCAUUUGUUGGACAUCACAGUUUUCAGUUCAGUGGAGUGACUGAUAUUACAUUCUCCACUCAAUAUACAGUAGACCUACUAGAAACAAAAAUCUCUGGAUUAUCUGAUGUUAUCAGAAAAAUAAAUAUAUCUUUUAAAUUAUGAAGAUGGACAGUAGCAUUACAUUUUUAACACAACGGACCUUCUGUCAGGCCUUGAUAUGUGCAAACUGCAAGUUUUUUUUUAAAAGGCAGCACUUGAUGUGAGGACCGUGGAAAGGAACAGUAGUGUUUUCAAAUUGGGUGGCACGGUGCAGCUGUGGCUUAGAGCUGUGGCCUCUCAGCAUGAAAGCCGAAGCUUCACUUCACAGCCUCGGGAGCUGGUUUCCCCCCUCAAACCAAAAACAUGCGUUAGAUUAAUUUGUAACUUUACAUUGUAUCUCUAUAUGUCCCUGUGACAGAUUUGCAUCUUGUCCAGGUGUCCCCCCACCUCUCACACAGUGACGAAUGGACCAGCUGCCUUGCAACCCGAAAAGGAGAAGUGUGGAAAAAAAAGCAUGUAUUAAAAUAACCUCAUACAAACCAUAGAGUUAAAACAGAAUUUAAAAUCAUAACAUGUUACAAGAACCCUCAUUAUAUAUAGAUGCCCUAUAUAUACUGCUCAUAAUGUAAAAUUUUAAAAUAAAACAAGUGGUCAUUAAACCAAAAGGAAUAAUUUUGGUCCUAAGCAGCUAUUCUAAUUUUACUUGGUGCAUUCCUAAUAUAAAUAUAUUUUUUACAUUUUUCCACAAUUUAAUACUGAUGUGAAGAAAAUGUUUAAAUCGUGAUAAAUUUGCAGUAAAACUGAACCUCCUGCAUAUGUUUUCAUUUUGUCCACUGGUUCUUUUCUCCCACAGAAUCUGAAUGUCUCUAAAGUUUUGGACAGAAACGACUCAUCUUCAUACAGUUAUGCUUUAAGUUGAAGUGGAGAAAGCUCAGUUUUAACAGUGACAGUCGAACAACAAAGGACUUCUUUUAUUUUUAAGACACAGAUAUGUCAACGUGGACGAGUCUUGGUGGAUUCUGUCACAACCUCAAUGGUCUCUUGCYUUAACAAAAAAAGCCACAGCGUAGCCAGAAAUCUGUUGUUUGUUUCUUCCAUUAAAACAUCCCCACAUGGCUCAAAGUGCAACCUGCAAACACGUAGAAUACUUCUUGAUGUUUCUCGGUCGGUAUGAAAGGUAAAAAUGUUUGUUUGGAGCAAAACCGAGUCCCAAGUCCACGCAAAAACAUGACAAAAAAAAAAAAAAAAA
This is a long non-coding RNA of Austrofundulus limnaeus, 2314 nucleotides long. RefSeq lists it as uncharacterized. The transcript is spliced from 2 exons. The record is from RefSeq and is a predicted model, not a curated record. Lineage: Eukaryota; Metazoa; Chordata; Actinopteri; Cyprinodontiformes; Rivulidae.